UACGUAGGGACCGAGCGUUGUCCGGAAUCAUUGGGCGUAAAGAGCGUGUAGGCGGCCACUUAAGUCCUGCGUGAAAUCUUGCGGCUCAACCGCAAGCGGUCGUGGGAAACUGGGUGGCUAGAGUGCGGGAGAGGAGAGUGGAAUUCCCGGUGUAGCAGUGAAAUGCGUAGAGAUCGGGAGGAACACCAGUGGCGAAGGCGGCUACCUGGACCAGCACUGACACUGAGGCACGAAAGCGUGGGGAGCAAACAGG
Molecule: ribosomal RNA, 253 nt
Filed under: uncultured bacterium
Lineage: Bacteria
Description: partial 16S ribosomal RNA
Rfam family: Bacterial small subunit ribosomal RNA
Source: RNAcentral